UAAGCGGAGGAAAAGAAACCAACAGGGAUUGCCCCAGUAACGGCGAGUGAAGCGGCAAAAGCUCAAAUUUGAAAUCCUGCGGGAAUUGUAAUUUGAAGGUUUCGUGGUCUGAGUCGGCCGCGCCCAAGUCCAUUGGAACAUGGCGCCUGGGAGGGUGAGAGCCCCGUCUGGCGCACGCCGACUCUUUGCACCGCGGCUCCGACGAGUCGAGUUGUUUGGGAAUGCAGCUCUAAGUGGGUGGUAAAUUCCAUCUAAAGCUAAAUAUUGGCGAGAGACCGAUAGCGAACAAGUACAGUGAUGGAAAGAUGAAAAGCACUUUGAAAAGAGAGUGAAACAGCACGUGAAAUUGUUGAAAGGGAAGGGCUUGCAAGCAGACACGGUUUUACCGGGCCAGCGUCGAAAAGGGGGGAGGAACAAGAACUCGAGAAUGUGGCGCGCACCUUCGGGCGCGCGUGUUAUAGCUCGUGUUGACGCCUCCAUCCCUUUUCGAGGCCUGCGAUUCUAGGACGCUGGCGUAAUGGUUGCAAGCCGC
Molecule: ribosomal RNA, 532 nt
Filed under: Clavispora lusitaniae
Lineage: Eukaryota; Fungi; Ascomycota; Pichiomycetes; Serinales; Metschnikowiaceae
Description: eukaryotic LSU rRNA
Rfam family: Eukaryotic large subunit ribosomal RNA
Source: RNAcentral